GUGUCAGCAGCCGCGGUAAAACGUAGGAGCCAAGCGUUAUCCGAAUUCACUGGGCGUAAAGCGCGAGCAGGCGGCCUGGUAAGUUGGAUGUGAAAUCUCCCGGCUCAACUGGGAGAGGACGUACAAGACUGCCCGGCUAGAGGACGGUAGAGGGAGGUGGAAUUCCCGGUGUAGUGGUGAAAUGCGUAGAUAUCGGGAGGAACACCAGUGGCGAAGGCGGCCUCCUGGGCCGUUCCUGACGCUGAGAUGCGAAAGCUAGGGGAGCGAACGGGAUUAGAAACCCCUGUAGUCC
Molecule: ribosomal RNA, 292 nt
Filed under: uncultured bacterium
Lineage: Bacteria
Description: partial 16S ribosomal RNA
Rfam family: Bacterial small subunit ribosomal RNA
Source: RNAcentral